RNAcentral lists this ribosomal RNA (302 nucleotides) under uncultured bacterium. Its description in RNAcentral is "bacterial SSU rRNA". It matches the Rfam family "Bacterial small subunit ribosomal RNA", at positions 9 to 314 of the family's 1533-position model. The record is from RNAcentral.
GAGUUUGAUCCUGGCUCAGGACGAACGCUGGCGGCGUGCUUAACACAUGCAAGUCGAACGGAAAGGCCCGCUUGCGGGUACUCGAGUGGCGAACGGGUGAGUAACACGUGGGCAACCUGCCCUCAGCUCUGGGAUAACUCCGGGAAACCGGUGCUAAUACUGGAUAUCGACUUCUGCCUCGCAUGGGGUGCUGUUGAAAGUUUUUCGGCUGGGGAUGGGCCCGCGGCCUAUCAGCUUGUGGUGGGUGAUGGCCUACCAAGGCGACGACGGGUAGCCGGCCUGAGAGGGCGACCGGCCACACU